Molecule: transfer RNA, 75 nt
Filed under: Chthoniobacterales bacterium
Lineage: Bacteria; Pseudomonadati; Verrucomicrobiota; Spartobacteria; Chthoniobacterales
Description: tRNA-Val
Rfam family: tRNA
About the family: Transfer RNA (tRNA) molecules are approximately 80 nucleotides in length. Their secondary structure includes four short double-helical elements and three loops (D, anti-codon, and T loops).
Source: RNAcentral
GCGCGGUUAGCUCAGCGGUAGAGCGGCUCGUUUACACCGAGUUGGUCGGGGGUUCGAUUCCCUCACCGCGCACCA